This 633-nucleotide small RNA is filed under the name Pan troglodytes (chimpanzee). RNAcentral's name for it is "retained intron". The record is from RNAcentral. Lineage: Eukaryota; Metazoa; Chordata; Mammalia; Primates; Hominidae.
ACAGGCAGGGCGGGCGGGGCGGCCGACGACGUUCGUCAUUUAGUGCGGGAGGGAGCCUGAACCGCGCGGCCGAACCCUCCGGUGUCCCGACCCAGGCUAAGCUUGAGCAUGGCUGAGCAGGAGCCCACAGCCGAGCAGCUGGCCCAGAUUGCAGCGGAGAACGAGGAGGAUGAGCACUCGGUCAACUACAAGCCCCCGGCCCAGAAGAGCAUCCAGGAGAUCCAGGAGCUGGACAAGGACGACGAGAGCCUGCGAAAGUACAAGGAGGCCCUGCUGGGCCGCGUGGCCGUUUCCGCAGACCCCAACGUCCCCAACGUCGUCGUGACUGGCCUGACCCUGGUGUGCAGCUCUGCCCCGGGCCCCCUGGAGCUGGACCUGACGGGUGAGUGCCCUGCGGCCGCGGGGGUUCGGGCGGCCCCUGGUGGGGAUCUCGGGAAGUGCAGCCAGGGGGCCGUGCAGGGCUGGGGCUUCGCGCAGGGCUGGGGGCCCCAGGGCUGCUGGGCAUUGAGGAGGAGGUCCCCCCAACAGGCGACCUGGAGAGCUUCAAGAAGCAGUCGUUUGUGCUGAAAGAGGGUGUGGAGUACCGGAUAAAAAUCUCUUUCCGGGUAAGCUACAGGCUGCUGUGGCCAGGGA